AUGAGGAUGAGGAUAUGGAAGCCACAACCACAACCACAAUCCCCGGCGGCGGAGGGGAAAAGGAAAGAAUCCGGAAAUCGGCGAUCAAGGAAGAGGAGAAGCGACUCACCUUUGGGAGGGUGGCCAGUGUGCCGAGGAAGAAGAGGGUUUUAGUUUUAGUAGGCGAGGAGGGGCAGAGGGCAGUGGGGCGGGUUGAGCGCGGAGGAAGCCUCCGCGCACACGGCACACGUAUGCGACGAGAUCCAAAGUUAAAAGUGGUAUCGCUAGAUCAUGAUUCAAACGUUUCUUUCGUUUAAGCAAACGAGGCAACGGCGACUGAUCACUGAUCCGCCACUCAAAAGGAAGAGGGGGAGGACACCAGGCUCCAGGUCUGUCAAGAUGGAGCAGAAGAUGGCUUUGGUCAAGCAGAGGCUGGCUGGCCUUGCUUGAUUGUACCAGCAGCUGAAGCAGGUACCUGAAUCAAAGACCACGGUUAGACCCUGCGUGAAAUGAUCCAACACUGGCUUCAGAGUAGCACCGUUUCUUUGAUUAAGCUCAGCACAUGUUCAUCUCAAGUCUGUGAAUGAUAGCUGGUACCUGAAUCACUACUAUGAAACUUGGCAUUUGUGAUA
Zea mays is the source of this 611-nucleotide RNA transcript. RefSeq lists it as uncharacterized. The transcript is spliced from 3 exons. The record is from RefSeq and is marked validated. NCBI's taxonomy places the organism in Eukaryota, Viridiplantae, Streptophyta, Magnoliopsida, Poales, Poaceae.